AUGAAGUACUGCACAGAGGUACAGAUAAAGAUCCAGAAAGGUUGCAGGGAUGAAGAGCUAGGAAUUUUUUUGCGUUGCAGGAAUCUUGAUGAGGUUCUGAGAGAGAGGUUGAAAGGUUGUUUAUUUGGUGCAACAAGUUUUGUGACUGAUUGGAAUUUGGCGAUCGAAUUUGUACAUGGCUGUCUUAACAUGAUUCAAUUAUCUCUUGGAGCUUCGGGAAAACUUUUGAAGGGAGCAAGAGAAGGUUAA
Molecule: non-coding RNA, 249 nt
Organism: Vicia faba (fava bean)
Lineage: Eukaryota; Viridiplantae; Streptophyta; Magnoliopsida; Fabales; Fabaceae
Source: the annotation of a GenBank genome assembly